Molecule: ribosomal RNA, 497 nt
Filed under: uncultured bacterium
Lineage: Bacteria
Description: partial 16S ribosomal RNA
Rfam family: Bacterial small subunit ribosomal RNA
Source: RNAcentral
GAUGAACGCUGGCGGCGUGCCUAAUACAUGCAAGUCGAGCGAACGGACGAGAAGCUUGCUUUUCUGAUGUUAGCGGCGGACGGGUGAGUAACACGUGGAUAACCUACCUAUAAGACUGGGAUAACUUCGGGAAACCGGAGCUAAUACCGGAUAAUAUUUUGAACCGCAUGGUUCAAAAGUGAAAGACGGUCUUGCUGUCACUUAUAGAUGGAUCCGCGCUGCAUUAGCUAGUUGGUAAGGUAACGGCUUACCAAGGCAACGAUGCAUAGCCGACCUGAGAGGGUGAUCGGCCACACUGGAACUGAGACACGGUCCAGACUCCUACGGGAGGCAGCAGUAGGGAAUCUUCCGCAAUGGGCGAAAGCCUGACGGAGCAUCGCCGCGUGAGUGAUGAAGGUCUUCGGAUCGUAAAACUCUGUUAUUAGGGAAGAACAUAUGUGUAAGUAACUGUGCACAUCUUGACGGUACCUAAUCAGAAAGCCACGGCUAACUACGUG